ACGGGAGGCAGCAGUGGGGAAUAUUGCACAAUGGGGGAAACCCUGAUGCAGCGACGCCGCGUGAGCGAAGAAGUAUUUCGGUAUGUAAAGCUCUAUCAGCAGGGAAGAAAAUGACGGUACCUGACUAAGAAGCCCCGGCUAACUACGUGCCAGCAGCCGCGGUAAUACGUAGGGGGCAAGCGUUAUCCGGAUUUACUGGGUGUAAAGGGAGCGUAGACGGCAAGGUAAGUCUGAAGUGAAAUGCCGGGGCUCAACCCCGGAACUGCUUUGGAAACUAUCUCGCUCGAGUACCGGAGGGGUAAGCGGAAUUCCUAGUGUAGCGGUGAAAUGCGUAGAUAUUAGGAGGAACACCAGUGGCGAAGGCGACUUACUGGGCCGUAACUGACGCUGAGGCGCGAAAGCGUGGGGAGCGAACAGGAUUAGAUACCCUGGUA
This 434-nucleotide ribosomal RNA is filed under the name uncultured Lachnospiraceae bacterium. RNAcentral's name for it is "bacterial SSU rRNA". It matches the Rfam family "Bacterial small subunit ribosomal RNA", at positions 341 to 792 of the family's 1533-position model. Lineage: Bacteria; Bacillati; Bacillota; Clostridia; Lachnospirales; Lachnospiraceae. The record is from RNAcentral.